UCGUCCUGGCUUAUGCUUUUUUCUGCUCCCCUGUGCUCAGGUCUAACAGGGGAGUCGGUAGCAUGACGCACAGGAAAUCUUCCCUCUCAGUUUAUGAGGGCCAUCCUAAGAAUAGGACUGGCUCUUAUAGGCACGAGACGACAGU
This 145-nucleotide small nucleolar RNA is filed under the name Dasypus novemcinctus (nine-banded armadillo). RNAcentral's name for it is "Small Cajal body specific RNA 11". It matches the Rfam family "Small Cajal body specific RNA 11". Rfam says of the family: scaRNAs are a specific class of small nuclear RNAs which localise to the Cajal bodies and guide the modification of RNA polymerase II transcribed spliceosomal RNAs U1, U2, U4, U5 and U12. ACA57 belongs to the H/ACA box class of guide RNAs as it has the predicted hairpin-hinge-hairpin-tail structure, conserved H/ACA-box motifs and is found associated with GAR1. The record is from Rfam by way of RNAcentral. Lineage: Eukaryota; Metazoa; Chordata; Mammalia; Cingulata; Dasypodidae.